Molecule: ribosomal RNA, 253 nt
Filed under: uncultured bacterium
Lineage: Bacteria
Description: partial 16S ribosomal RNA
Rfam family: Bacterial small subunit ribosomal RNA
Source: RNAcentral
UACGGGGGGAGCAAGCGGUGUUCGGAUUUACUGGGCGUAAAGGGCGCGUAGGCGGUAGCACAAGUCAGUUGUGAAAUCUCCGGGCUUAACUCGGAAAGGUCAACUGAUACUGUGCGACUAGAGUGCAGAAGGGGCAACUGGAAUUCUCGGUGUAGCGGUGAAAUGCGUAGAUAUCAGGAGGAACACCGAUGGCGAAGGCAGGUCUCUGGGCAUUAACUGACGCUGAGGAGCGAAAGCAUGGGGAGCGAACAGG